CCUGGCGGCCAUAGCGCCGUGGAACCACCUGAUCCCAUGCCGAACUCAGAAGUGAAACGCGGUAGCGCCGAUGGUAGUGUGGCAUUCGCCAUGCGAGAGUAGGAAACUGCCAGGC
RNAcentral lists this ribosomal RNA (115 nucleotides) under Aeromonas salmonicida. Lineage: Bacteria; Pseudomonadati; Pseudomonadota; Gammaproteobacteria; Aeromonadales; Aeromonadaceae. The record is from RNAcentral. RNAcentral also lists the same sequence under 1 other name.